CUCCUACGGGAGGCAGCAGUGGGGAAUUUUGGACAAUGGGGGCAACCCUGAUCCAGCCAUGCCGCGUGCGGGAAGAAGGCCUUCGGGUUGUAAACCGCUUUUGUCGGGGAAGAAACGGUCUGCGCUAAUACCGCGGGCUAAUGACGGUACCCGAAGAAUAAGCACCGGCUAACUACGUGCCAGCAGCCGCGGUAAUACGUAGGGUGCAAGCGUUAAUCGGAAUUACUGGGCGUAAAGCGUGCGCAGGCGGCUUUGCAAGACAGAUGUGAAAUCCCCGGGCUUAACCUGGGAACUGCAUUUGUGACUGCAUGGCUGGAGUGCGGCAGAGGGGGAUGGAAUUCCGCGUGUAGCAGUGAAAUGCGUAGAUAUGCGGAGGAACACCGAUGGCGAAGGCAAUCCCCUGGGCCUGCACUGACGCUCAUGCACGAAAGCGUGGGGAGCAAACAGGAUUAGAUACCCUGGUAGUCCACGCCCUAAACGAUGUCAACUGGUUGUUGGACGGCUUGCUGUUCAGUAACGAAGCUAACGCGUGAAGU
RNAcentral lists this ribosomal RNA (536 nucleotides) under uncultured bacterium. RNAcentral describes it as "bacterial SSU rRNA". It matches the Rfam family "Bacterial small subunit ribosomal RNA", at positions 336 to 865 of the family's 1533-position model. The record is from RNAcentral.